This 420-nucleotide ribosomal RNA is filed under the name uncultured bacterium. RNAcentral's name for it is "partial 16S ribosomal RNA". It matches the Rfam family "Bacterial small subunit ribosomal RNA", at positions 355 to 792 of the family's 1533-position model. The record is from RNAcentral.
UGGGGAAUAUUGCACAAUGGGCGAAAGCCUGAUGCAGCAACGCUGCGUGAGUGAUGAAGGUCUUCGGAUUGUAAAGCUCUGUCUUUUGGGACGAUAAUGACGGUACCAAAGGAGGAAGCCACGGCUAACUACGUGCCAGCAGCCGCGGUAAUACGUAGGUGGCGAGCGUUGUCCGGAUUUACUGGGCGUAAAGGGUGCGUAGGCGGAUGUUUAAGUGAGAUGUGAAAUACCCGGGCUUAACUUGGGUGCUGCAUUUCAAACUGGAUAUCUAGAGUGCAGGAGAGGAGAAUGGAAUUCCUAGUGUAGCGGUGAAAUGCGUAGAGAUUAGGAAGAACACCAGUGGCGAAGGCGAUUCUCUGGACUGUAACUGACGCUGAGGCACGAAAGCGUGGGUAGCAAACAGGAUUAGAUACCCUGGUA